UCGACUGCAUAAUUUGUGGUAGUGGGGGA
Molecule: non-coding RNA, 29 nt
Filed under: Gallus gallus (chicken)
Lineage: Eukaryota; Metazoa; Chordata; Aves; Galliformes; Phasianidae
Also listed under: 5 other names
Source: RNAcentral